AUGGACUUCUAGCUAUAUUGGGAGUUAUAAACUUUGUGUUGUACAUAAUUUGUGCUACAUGGUUUAAGCCAAGGAAAGAUAAAUACAUGGAGACUAUCAACAAUGGAAAUGUUGUUGAGGACAAGUGCUAGGGUUUAGUUUAUAAAUGGUCUCAAUUUAUUGCCUUUGGUGUUGAUUGUAUCAUUUCACUUUCCUUUGGUAUGUGACUUUUUACUUUUGAUAAU
Molecule: unclassified non-coding RNA, 224 nt
Filed under: Hevea brasiliensis (rubber tree)
Lineage: Eukaryota; Viridiplantae; Streptophyta; Magnoliopsida; Malpighiales; Euphorbiaceae
Source: RNAcentral